AUUGAACGCUGGCGGCAGGCUUAACACAUGCAAGUCGAGCGAGCGGCGGACGGGUGAGUAAUGUCUUGGAAACUGCCUGAUGGAGGGGGAUAACUACGGGAAACGGUAGCUAAUACCGCAUACCAUCAGAUGUGCCCAGAUGGGAUUAGGUAGUUGGUGGGGUAAUGGCUCACCAAGGCGACGAUCCCUAGCUGGUCUGAGAGGAUGACCAGCCACACUGGAACUGAGACACGGCCCAGACUCCUACGGGAGGCAGCAGUGGGGAAUAUUGCACAAUGGGCGAAAGCCUGAGCGAGCCACGCCGCGUGGGUGAAGAAGGUCUUCGGGUUGUAAAGCACUUUCGGUGGGGAGGCGUUACCUGCCGAAGAAGCAACGGCUAACUCCGUGCCAGCAGCCGCGGUAAUUC
This 406-nucleotide ribosomal RNA is filed under the name uncultured bacterium. RNAcentral describes it as "partial 16S ribosomal RNA". It matches the Rfam family "Bacterial small subunit ribosomal RNA", at positions 30 to 526 of the family's 1533-position model. The record is from RNAcentral.